CCAAGUGCAAUAUUCAAACCACAAGCCCUGGCCACCUUACAGACCAGCUCAUUCGUUCCAUGUUUAAUGGAUGAAGUUACCAAGAUUCAGGCAAGGAGGGGAACUCAUGAAAUUCAUACCCAAGUUAGAAGUGUCCACAAUGGAACUGAAGUCUCCAGACCACAGGAGAAAAAGGCCUGCCACCACUGUCUGGAGAAGGUCAUAUCAUCUGGCUCGACAGUAAGGCUGCACGCAUGGAAGUUAGACCUUGAACUCAAAAAGACUUGCUUGCAUUCAAGACCUACAUCUACCCCAGCUCGGAAGAACACGGAUGACACAACAGUUGCAUUCCAGGACAAAUGUCCAUUCAAGAAACAUUCCUACUAUGCCAGAUUCUGA
This 378-nucleotide long non-coding RNA is filed under the name Bos indicus x Bos taurus (hybrid cattle). RNAcentral's name for it is "lncRNA (ENSBIXG00005004974.1)". The record is from RNAcentral. Lineage: Eukaryota; Metazoa; Chordata; Mammalia; Artiodactyla; Bovidae.